AACGAACGCUGGCGGCAGGCCUAACACAUGCAAGUCGAGCGGACCCUUCGGGGUUAGCGGCGGACGGGUGAGUAACGCGUGGGAAUAUGCCCUUCUCUACGGAAUAGUCCUGGGAAACUGGGGGUAAUACCGUAUACGCCCUUUGGGGGAAAGAUUUAUCGGGGAAGGAUUAGCCCGCGUUGGAUUAGGUAGUUGGUGGGGUAAUGGCCUACCAAGCCGACGAUCCAUAGCUGGUUUGUGAGGAUGAUCAGCCACACUGGGACUGAGACACGGCCCAGACUCCUACGGGAGGCAGCAGUGGGGAAUCUUAGACAAUGGGGGCAACCCUGAUCUAGCCAUGCCGCGUGAGUGAUGAAGGCCUUAGGGUUGUAAAGCUCUUUCAGCUGGGAAGAUAAUGACGGUACCAGCAGAAGAAGCCCCGGCUAACUCCGUG
Molecule: ribosomal RNA, 433 nt
Filed under: uncultured bacterium
Lineage: Bacteria
Description: partial 16S ribosomal RNA
Rfam family: Bacterial small subunit ribosomal RNA
Source: RNAcentral